UGUGCGGCGUGGUGUGGUGUUACACCGGUCCACAGGACCGGGCCGAGGAGGUCUUCGCGCCCAUUCGCGAGUUCGGGCCGCCCGCGUUGCACGG
RNAcentral lists this transfer RNA (94 nucleotides) under Deinococcus aerophilus. Its description in RNAcentral is "tRNA-Cys". The record is from RNAcentral. Lineage: Bacteria; Thermotogati; Deinococcota; Deinococci; Deinococcales; Deinococcaceae.